UUCGCUCUUCAUGAACUUGCCUCAUGCACCUCAGGUGGAGAAAAUGUUGGCGUUCAGUGUUAUGACUCCAUACUACAGCGAGGAAGUUGUAUACAGCAAAGAACAGCUCCGAAAUGAGACUGAGGAUGGGAUUUCAACCUUGUAUUACCUGCAGACGAUUUAUGCCGACGAAUGGAAAAAUUUUAAGGAACGGAUGCGUAGGGAAGGUAUAAAGACAGAUGUUGAGUUGUGGACAACCAAGCUGAGAGAGCUCAGGCUUUGGGCUUCCUACAGAGGUCAGACUUUGGCACGUACAGUUCGAGGAAUGAUGUACUAUUACAGGGCUCUUAAGAUGCUUGCUUUUCUCGACUCUGCGUCUGAAAUGGACAUUCGGGAGGAUGCUCAGGAGCUUGGUUCAAUGAGGAGUUCGCAGGGAAAUCGAUUGGAUGGUGUUGACGAUGUAAAUGACCGAUCUUCUCUAAGCAGAGCAACUAGCUCUGUGAGCAUGCUGUAUAAAGGCCAUGAGCAUGGGACUGCAUUGAUGAAAUUCACAUAUGUCGUGGCGUGCCAAAUCUAUGGGUCUCAAAAAGCGAAGAAAGAGCCUCAGGCAGAGGAAAUUCUGUAUCUUAUGAAGCAAAACGAAGCCCUUCGUAUUGCAUAUGUGGAUGAGGUACAUGCGGGCAGGGGAGAGACUGAGUAUUACUCCGUUCUGGUGAAAUACGAUCACACGUUGGAGAGGGAAGUGGAGAUAUUCCGUGUGAAGCUACCUGGUCCGGUGAAGCUGGGUGAGGGAAAGCCAGAGAACCAGAAUCAUGCAAUGAUCUUUACCCGUGGUGAUGCUGUUCAGACCAUAGAUAUGAACCAGGAUAAUUAUUUUGAGGAGGCUCUCAAGAUGAGAAAUUUGAAUAACAAAGAAUGUAGCCCAAACGGAAACAGAAUAAAUGAAACGCGGUAAAGUGAACAGAUGUCACAUAAUGAUUGGCUGAUUUAAUUGUCCUACGUGGACAGCUUCUCUGAUGCUCAUAUAACCCUUUUAGUAUAGGUUAGAUGAUAUCAUCCUUAGUCAAAAGUCAAAACAUCUCAAAUUAAAUAAGUAUAGAGUUGUGAAUUUUUAAAAAAGUAUAGAGUAUAUAAAAUUAGCAUUUGCGAAUGUUUUUAAAAGUUUGGCGUUUGUAUGGAUCACUGUCAGUGUCAUGAAUCAUUCGGUGACUGCAAAAUUUUAUAUGACAAAAAAAAAAGAGAGUUGAUACUUACCAUUCUCGAUAUUUUGAAAUUUUUUUCGUCGUUAAUACAAACUCAACAUUUUCGAAAUCUUGGAUUAAAAAAAAAAAAUAUGGACAAAACGGUACUUAUUAAUUAAUUAUGUACUAGCGUCUUGACAUUAUUAAUAUAGAUAUAAUUAUAAGAACAAGAAACGUAUAUGCACAAACCCUCAAACCAAAUUUAAAUAGUGUUAAAAAACAAGGGAUGUACUUGUUAUGAAAAAUUAAUAUAUAACCAUUCUUAACAUUUUUACCUAACCCUUAAACUUUAUAAAUAAAAAUACGUAAUAUCCCGAUAGAAAUAUUUUAAAAUUUUGAUUUGAUUAUUUAUGUUAUCAAAGUGCAUUUAUUUUUUUUUGUCACGUAUAUAUUUAAAAUUUCAACAUUAAAAGUGUGUAAGAUGGAGUAGUGAAAAUAUAGACGACUUACCAUAAAAUUAUUUGUGAUAUCAUUUGAAUAAGACUAAAACACGGACAAAAAUAAUAUAGUGAUUGCAUUGUUAUUAAACAAUUAUUUGGAUUUGAAAAGAAAUAACUCAUUGAAUGAAGCCUAUGAGCCGAGUAAACGGACGUGGAUAGCUUAAGCGGUUGGACCGUACAAAAUUUAUGACCAACAAGAAAAUGAAAUUGAUUUUUUUUUUGACGAAAAAAUGAAAUUGAUUUUAGAAAGUAACAAAAUGGUUCCAGAUUUCAAUACUUCAACGUUUUUUUAUGCCGACUUUCUUUUCCUCUUUUACUUACAUGAUAAGGAAACGAGAGAGGUUGAAGAAACAAAGAAACUUCCUAAGCAUUUAGAAAUGUAUCUUCAAAAAAUCUAGUAUUUACCAAGUAAAAUCAUUCAAAAUAAGGAAAAAAAGAAGAAUCUAUUUCCCAAUUUGGUUUUCACCGAAAAAAAAAUUGUCUUAAUAAAAUCUUAAUGCACCAAAUCAUAUAAGAACUUUAUAUGACCAUUGUCAUUAGUUUUUUCUUUAUGGUAAUGGAUCUUCAAAUAAUUUAAAUUAAAUUAAAAAAAAAAAAGAGAAACAAAAACGCGGAAAGGAGAGCCCAAAUCGUCUCCGUCUGUCAUUGUCGCAGUCUCUCACAGCUAAAUAAAAGAGAAAAACAAAUCGCAACGCUUCAAUAUCUCUCUCCCAAUCGUUUGAAUCAGUCUUCCUCAUCACAAUCCCCCAAAGAUCCACCACACAUGCUACUAUGAGCCUCCGCCACCGCACCGUCCCCUCUCAACCCGGACGGCCCCCGGCGGCGGGCGCAAUCGACGACGAGCCCUACAACAUCAUCCCCGUCAACAACCUCCUCGCCGACCACCCCUCCCUCCGCUACCCCGAGGUCCGCGCCGCCGCCGCCGCCCUCAAAACCGGCGGCGACCUCCGCCGCCCCACCUACGUCCAAUGGCGCCCCCACUACGACCUCCUCGACUGGCUCGCCCUCUUCUUCGGCUUCCAGAAGGACAACGUCCGCAACCAGCGCGAGCACCUCGUCCUCCACCUCGCCAACGCCCAGAUGCGCCUCACGCCGCCGCCGGAUAACAUCGAUUCCCUCGAUCCCGCCGUCGUCCGCCGUUUCCGCCGCAAGCUCCUCGGUAACUACUCGAGCUGGUGCUCGUACCUCGGGAGGAAGUCGAACAUCUGGAUCUCGGAUCGGAACCCCGAUUCGAGGCGGGAGCUUCUCUACGUCGGCCUCUACCUCCUCGUGUGGGGGGAGGCGGCGAAUCUUAGGUUUAUGCCGGAGUGUGUCUGUUACAUCUUCCACAAUAUGGCCUCGGAGCUUAACAAGAUCCUCGAGGAUUGCCUCGACGAGAGCACGGGGCAGCCGUACUCUCCUAGAAUCACGGGGGAGAAUAGUUUCCUAAACGGCGUCGUUAAACCUAUUUACGAGACGAUCAAAGCUGAGAUUAACGAGAGCAAGAACGGGACGGAGCCGCAUUGUAAGUGGAGGAACUAUGAUGAUAUUAAUGAAUACUUUUGGACGGAUAGGUGUUUUAGUAAAUUGAAAUGGCCGAUUGAUUUGGGGAGCAGUUUCUUCAAGAGUAGUAGAGGGAGAGGCGUUGGGAAGACAGGUUUUGUGGAGAGGAGGACGUUCUUUUACCUCUACAGGAGCUUUGAUAGGCUUUGGGUGAUGCUUGCUUUGUUUCUUCAAGCUGCUAUUAUAGUCGCUUGGGAGGAGAAGCCGGGUGGAGGGUCGGUGAGGAGUCAGCUCUGGAAUGCGUUGAAGUCGAGGGAUGUUCGGGUGAGGCUUUUGACUGUGUUCUUGACGUGGAGUGGGAUGAGAUUACUGCAGGCUGUGCUGGACGCUGCCUCGCAACGGCCGCUUAUUUCUAGAGAGACCAAGCGGCUGUUUUUCAGAAUGUUGAUGAAGGUUGUAGCUGCUACGGUUUGGAUAAUUGCUUUUAUUGUUCUCUACACGAACAUCUGGAAGCAGAGGAAGCAAGACAGGCAGUGGUCCAGAGCCGCGAAUGACAAGAUCUAUCAGUUCCUUUACGCUGUGGUGGCUUUCUUGGUCCCUGAGAUCCUGGCUUUGGCUCUGUUUAUAGUCCCGUGGAUAAGGAACUUUCUGGAAGAGACCAAUUGGAAGAUAUUCUUUGCUUUGACUUGGUGGUUCCAGGGUAAAAGCUUUGUGGGUCGAGGUUUGAGAGAGGGGUUGGUGGACAACAUCAAGUACUCGACUUUCUGGAUCUUUGUCCUAGCAACGAAGUUCACGUUCAGCUACUUCCUGCAGGUUAAGCCAAUGAUUAAACCCUCGAAGCUGCUAUGGAAUUUGAAGGAGGUGGAUUAUGAGUGGCAUCAGUUCUUUGGCGAGAGCAAUAGGUUUUCUGUCUUGUUAUUGUGGCUGCCAGUGGUGUUGAUAUACCUGAUGGAUAUCCAAAUUUGGUACGCGAUCUAUUCUUCGAUUGUUGGUGCUGUUGUUGGGCUGUUUGAUCAUCUGGGGGAGAUCAGGGACAUGGGACAGCUUAGGCUGAGGUUUCAGUUCUUUGCUAGCGCUAUUCAGUUCAACCUAAUGCCUGAGGAACAACUCCUGAAUGCUAGAGGAUUUGGUAACAAGCUUAAGGACGCCAUUCAUAGGUAAGUCUAUUGAAGCAUGUUACUGAUAUUCCUUUAUAAUUUACUGUACAGAGUUUGUCUUUACGGUACAAGUUAUGGAAUUUUAGUUUUGUUAAAGCAGAUUCUCUUAACUCGGCUUUUCAACAUUGUAAUAACCUUGAGUUUGUGUACUUUAUGCAGAUUGAAGCUGAGGUAUGGACUUGGGCGGCCAUUUAAGAAACUCGAGUCUAAUCAGGUUGAGGCUAACAAGUUUGCGCUGAUCUGGAAUGAGAUAAUCUUAGCUUUCAGAGAAGAGGAUAUAGUCUCUGAUCGAGAAGUAGAGCUACUGGAGCUGCCAAAAAAUUCCUGGAAUGUGACAGUUAUCCGCUGGCCGUGUUUCCUGUUGUGCAACGAGCUUUUGCUUGCACUGAGCCAGGCGAAAGAGCUGGUUGACGCACCUGAUAAAUGGCUGUGGCACAAGAUAUGCAAGAACGAGUACAGGCGGUGUGCUGUGGUUGAGGCAUAUGAAAGCAUCAAACAUCUGUUGCUCUCAAUCAUCAAAAUUGACACCGAAGAACAUAAAAUUAUUACAAUUUUCUUUCAGAUGAUUGAGGUGUCUAUUCAGGGUGAGCAGUUCACCAAGACCUUCAAAGUGGACCUAUUGCCAAAGAUUUAUGAGACGCUACAGAAGUUGGUUGGGCUGUUGAAUGAUGAGAAAGUGGAUGUUGGGCGAGUGGUGAAUGGUCUGCAGUCUAUUUAUGAGAUUGCAACACGACAGUUCUUCAUAGAAAAGAAGACGACUGAACAGCUAUCUACCGAGGGGUUAACUCCUCAUGAUCCAGCCUCAAAGUUACUGUUUCAGAAUGCUGUUAGGCUUCCCGAUGCAAGCAAUGAAGACUUCUUCCGGCAGGUUAGGCGGUUACACACAAUUCUCACUUCUAGGGACUCUAUGCACAGCGUCCCUGUGAAUCUAGAGGCGAGACGGCGGAUUGCCUUCUUCAGCAAUUCGCUCUUCAUGAACUUGCCUCAUGCACCUCAGGUGGAGAAAAUGUUGGCGUUCAGUGUUAUGACUCCAUACUACAGCGAGGAAGUUGUAUACAGUAAAGAACAGCUCCGAAAUGAGACUGAGGAUGGGAUUUCAACCUUGUAUUACCUGCAGACGAUUUAUGCCGACGAAUGGAAAAAUUUUAAGGAACGGAUGCGUAGGGAAGGUAUAAAGACAGAUGUUGAGUUGUGGACAACCAAGCUGAGAGAGCUCAGGCUUUGGGCUUCCUACAGAGGUCAGACUUUGGCACGUAC
RNAcentral lists this long non-coding RNA (5556 nucleotides) under Brassica napus (rape). Its description in RNAcentral is "long non-coding RNA (BNAP_LNC022390)". The stretch from base 298 to 373 matches the Rfam family "Small nucleolar RNA J33". Lineage: Eukaryota; Viridiplantae; Streptophyta; Magnoliopsida; Brassicales; Brassicaceae. The record is from RNAcentral.